This 1251-nucleotide ribosomal RNA is filed under the name Asterinales sp. DE-2016. Its description in RNAcentral is "eukaryotic LSU rRNA". It matches the Rfam family "Eukaryotic large subunit ribosomal RNA", at positions 72 to 1071 of the family's 3401-position model. The record is from RNAcentral. Lineage: Eukaryota; Fungi; Ascomycota; Dothideomycetes; Asterinales.
GGAUUGCCCUAGUAACGGCGAGUGAAGCGGCAGCAGCUCAAAUUUGAAAUCUGGCCCCGGGCCCGAGUUGUGAUUUGCAGAGGAGGUUUUGGAGUCGCUCCGGCCUAGGUUCCUUGGAAUAGGACGUCACAGAGGGUGAGAAUCCCGUACGUGGCUAGGAGGCCUCUCCGUGCAAAGCCCCUUCGACGAGUCGAGUUGUUUGGGAAUGCAGCUCUAAAUGGGAGGUAAAUUUCUUCUAAAGCUAAAUACCGGCCAGAGACCGAUAGCGCACAAGUAGAGUGAUCGAAAGAUGAAAAGCACUUUGGAAAGAGAGUUAAAAAGUACGUGAAAUUGUUGAAAGGGAAGCGUUUGUAGCCAGCCCCGACGGUAGUUGCUCAACCGGUCUCUGCCCGGUGCACUCUUCUGCCGACGGGCCAGCAUCAGUUCAGGUGGCCGGAUAAAGGCCUGGGGAACGUAGCUCCUCGGAGUGUUAUAGCCCCUAGCACAAUGCGGUCAGCCCGGACUGAGGACAGCGAUCCACGGAUGCUGGCGUAAUGGCUGCCAACGGCCCGUCUUGAAACACGGACCAAGGAGUCUAACAUCUAUGCGAGUGUUUGGGUGCCAAACCCGUGCGCGCAAUGAAAGUGAACGGAGGUGGGAGCUUCGGCGCACCAUCGACCGAUCCUGAUGUCUUCGGAAGGAUUUGAGUAAGAGCAUAGCUGUUGGGACCCGAAAGAUGGUGAACUAUGCCUGAAUAGGGUGAAGCCAGAGGAAACUCUGGUGGAGGCUCGCAGCGGUUCUGACGUGCAAAUCGAUCGUCAAAUUUGGGUAUAGGGGCGAAAGACUAAUCGAACCAUUGACACCAGCCUUUGCUAGGUGGUUUAGAGCGGUUAUUUACCGUUAGUUGGGUUACACCGUCAAAUUGCGGGGACGCUUCUGCGUUGCUCCGGAUACCUCCUAGGUGCUUGAAAAGGCACCUAAGCCCCUGACAUCUUGUUAGGGAGAAGGUUAUGCCACUGGAGAAGCGGGCGACCUGCAGCCAAACCCGUCCAAGCNGCGGGNGCAGUUCACAGACUNCAAGUCGGUGNGUACUCAUGUACCUAANAUAUAGUCGGAAGUACCNGGAUACGGGUACAUUCUAAGGAGCUAGUAGCUGGUUCCUGCCGAAGUUUCCCUCAGGAUAGCAGUAACGAUUUCAGUUUUAUGAGGUAAAGCGAAUGAUUAGAGGCCUNGGGGUUGAAACAACCUUNACCUAUUCUCAAACUUUAAAUA